GAUAAGAACUUAACGAGCAUUACUUGACUUCGACCUUGAAUACUACAAAAUGAUGUGCUGCUUGCCUCUAAUAUUUGACCCAAAUAAUAAUAACUGAUGGCACAAAUCUGUUAAAAUUCAAGGAAUGGAAAUGCCACGAAAGACAUUGUUUCCGUAGGAAACCACUUUAUUGUAUUAAGAAAUCAGUUCCAUAAUUCUGCGUAAGUGUUCAUCGAAUAUUGUCUCAGAGGAGGAAUUUGCGGUACUGGCAUGGCUUUGACCAAUGUCUUAAUUUUAAUGGAUGCGUAGUCACUUCAAGAAAUGUAGAAAUGAAGCAACCAUUGAAUAAGAAACAACUGGUUGUGUGAAGCAAGAUGAAGCAUAUGAGAUCGACUUGAAAGCAAGUCCCAUGGAGAUGGCCAAAUGAGAACAUGCUUCCGGUAUUACAUGCCUACAGCUUCAUUAUUUUAUUCACAAAUUUUUUACCUGACAGGGUUGAAGCUUUGGUGCUUCUUUCUACAUGCAUCCAGAUGGUCCCUAAGAAAUUCUCACCGAUUGUGGUGGCAGAGUGGGGUAAAUAAUAAGAUAGUUGAAAAGGACAUGACCAAUCUGUUCCUAUCUGUCCCCAACCUGAGCUGGUGUUGAGUCCCUAAUUGUGUGUCUCUUGUUGUUGAUGGGACAUUAAACCAUAACAGUUCCUUUCUUCAGUCACAAUAGCCACAAACACGUGAGUCUUAAAUUCUUCAACAAACUGCCAAAAAGAGCUCACUAGAUUCCCUUACUGAAAUGCUAGAAAAUAUUAGAAACUGUGCUAAAAGAGCAAGACUUUUAUAGAGUUGAUGAAUUCACGGAGAGUGAUUUCCAAGGAUUGGGCUUUGGAUAGCUGCCUGUGUCAGUAAAAUUGCAUGUAAUAAUCAUACAAUUAGAAUUUGGUGUUUAUACAGGGUGAAGCAAAAUUCGCGCACUAGGCUUCACAGCACGACUCCUCACACGCCAGCAAUAAAAAAAUCUCUCUUUCAAAAUUUAGUCUGUCUGGCAAGAACACCCGGCAGAAAAAGGACGUUAAAAGAUUGACAAUGUGGUAACACUGUAACCACAUAUAUGGUAUAUUCCUCUGUCAGCGUGUAUCAGUUGUGCUGUAUAUGUGGUGCAGUGGGUAGAGUUUUGGGUUAUCAUGCAGAACGACGAUGGUUCGGUACUGUGUUAGGGCAUAUGUUUUUUAUAUGGUAAAUGUAGUCCAGAUGGUACAGUAUCUGGCAUCUUAAUCGUCAACAGCGAUUGCAGCAGGUCCUCUAGAAAACAUUUGUACUUACAUACUACAAUUGUAGAAAUGGAAGAUUGGUCAGCUUUGAAAGAAGCCCUUUCCACAUUGUGGGCUUGAAUUUAUUCGCACCACUUCAUCUACUAGUCGCGAAAGCUGUUUUUCUUUGUACCCUCCUCCAAUGGUCCCAUAGAUUAGUAGCAACUAUUAUUCUUGCCUCGUUCAGGUCCUUUACAUUUCAUUAGGGCCUUACGUUAGCAGUAGGACUAGCAACGUGCUUUGCGAAUAAUGUCCAAACUCGGUUACUAAUUGUAUGUGUUAUCACAAUGGUCCCACUAAUUAUGCCUUUCAACACUGAGUCUGGUAACCGCAUGCUGUUUACUACACAUCUCAAUGCACUGAUAGGACAUUUGUUUCAACUGUAUUUCUUAUUUGUCUAAAGACAUAUUUGUUAUGUUCGGCGUUACAAAAUAUUGUAAAUUAAGGAUACAGGUAAGCUAUGAAAUGGUGUAUAUUACAGUAGAAAUGUCAGAAUAAAAUUAGCAAAUAAAAAAAAAGCGCCCCAACCAGGAUCGAACCCUCGACCUCCUGCAUUAUAACCCAAAACUCUAUUCACUGCACCACAUAUACAGCACAAUUCAUAUGUGCUGACACAGGUAGUGACCAUAUAUGUGGUUACAGUGUUGCCAGAUUGCCACUUUAUCGUCCUUUUUCUGCCAGAUGUACUCAGAGAUUUUUUUUAUCACUGGCAUGUGAGGAGUUGCACUGAGAAGCCUGAGU
This is a long non-coding RNA of Schistocerca serialis cubense, 2020 nucleotides long. RefSeq lists it as uncharacterized. The transcript is spliced from 3 exons. Lineage: Eukaryota; Metazoa; Arthropoda; Insecta; Orthoptera; Acrididae. The record is from RefSeq and is a predicted model, not a curated record.